UGACUGCUAUCGGAUUGAUACUAAGCCAUGCGAGUCUUUGCAGUAAUGCAAGGCAUACGGCUCAGUAACACGUAGUCAACUUACCCUAUGGACGAGGAUAAUCUCGGGAAACUGAGCAUAAUACUCGAUAGAUCAUAAUGCCUGGAAUGGUUUAUGGUUAAAAUGAUUCGUCGCCAUAGGAUGGGACUGCGGCCUAUCAGCUUGUUGGUGAGGUAAUGGCCCACCAAGGCGAUUACAGGUACGGGCUCUGAGAGGAGAAGCCCGGAGAUGGGUACUGAGACAAGGACCCAGGCCCUAUGGGGCGCAGCAGGCGAGAAAACUUUGCAAUGUGCGAAAGCACGACAAGGUUAAUCCGAGUGAUUUCUGCUAAAGAAAUCUUUUGCAAGUCAUAAAACCACUAGUGAAUAAGGGGUGGGCAAGUUCUGGUGUCAGCCGCCGCGGUAAAACCAGCACCUCAAGUGGUCAGGAGGAUUAUUGGGCCUAAAGCAUCCGUAGCCGGCUCUGUAAGUUUUCGGUUAAAUUCAUGUGCUCAACGCAUGAGCCGCCGAAAAUACUGCAUAGCUAGGGAGUGGGAGAGGUAGACGGUACUCGGUAGGAAGGGGUAAAAUCCUUUGAUCUAUCGAUGACCACCUGUGGCGAAGGCGGCCUACCAGAACACGUUCGACGGUGAGGGAUGAAAGCUGGGGGAGCAAACCGGAUUAGAUACCCGGGUAGUCCCAGCUGUAAACGAUGCAGACUCGAUGAUGCAUUGGCAUAUAGCCAAUGCAGUGUCGCAGGGAAGCCGUUAA
This 788-nucleotide ribosomal RNA is filed under the name uncultured crenarchaeote. RNAcentral describes it as "bacterial SSU rRNA". It matches the Rfam family "Archaeal small subunit ribosomal RNA", at positions 24 to 818 of the family's 1478-position model. The record is from RNAcentral. Lineage: Archaea; Thermoproteati; Thermoproteota.